Molecule: long non-coding RNA, 320 nt
Filed under: Gossypium barbadense (sea-island cotton)
Lineage: Eukaryota; Viridiplantae; Streptophyta; Magnoliopsida; Malvales; Malvaceae
Description: long non-coding RNA (GBAR_LNC015264)
Source: RNAcentral
GAGGACGAAUCUUCUUGAGGAAUGGGGGAAUGAUACGAAUCCAAGACCCAAUUUCACAUUCAUGGAUGUGAUGAGCUUACACUACCUCAAGGCCCAAGAACAAGGUCAAAUGUUAAACAAAUCAGACCAAGAUUCGAUUAAAGCCAAUAUGUGAUGAUGAAUCUUUUCGAGGAAAUGAGGAAUGAUACAUGCACAGAAUGAGUAAAAUGUAGUCAAUUCAACCAAGCUAUCAAUUUUUAAGCUGAAAAGAUUAGUCAACUUGUGACAAAUUUUUGGAGGGGAUCUAGCCAUUUCUGGAUUAAGAUGUCUUCAUAAUGUUC